AUUGAACGCUGGCGGCAUGCUUUACACAUGCAAGUCGAACGGCAGCGCGGGCUUCGGCCUGGCGGCGAGUGGCGAACGGGUGAGUAAUACAUCGGAACGUGCCCAGUAGUGGGGGAUAGCUCGGCGAAAGCCGGAUUAAUACCGCAUACGACCUGAGGGUGAAAGCGGGGGAUCUUCGGACCUCGCGCUAUUGGAGCGGCCGAUGGCAGAUUAGCUAGUUGGUGGGGUAAAGGCCUACCAAGGCGACGAUCUGUAGCUGGUCUGAGAGGACGACCAGCCACCCUGGAACUGGGACACGGCCCAGACUCCUACGGGAGGCAGCAGUGGGGAAUUUUGGACAAUGGGCGAAAGCCUGAUCCAGCAAUGCCGCGUGUGUGAUGAAGGCCUUCGGGUUGUAAAGCACUUUUGGCGGGAACGAAAAGGACUGUGCCAAUACCACGGUUCGAUGACGGUACCCGCAGAAUAAGCACCGGCUAACUACGUG
RNAcentral lists this ribosomal RNA (484 nucleotides) under uncultured bacterium. RNAcentral's name for it is "partial 16S ribosomal RNA". It matches the Rfam family "Bacterial small subunit ribosomal RNA", at positions 29 to 507 of the family's 1533-position model. The record is from RNAcentral.